This is a long non-coding RNA of Phyllopteryx taeniolatus (common seadragon), 2570 nucleotides long. RefSeq lists it as uncharacterized. The record is from RefSeq and is a predicted model, not a curated record. The transcript is spliced from 2 exons. Lineage: Eukaryota; Metazoa; Chordata; Actinopteri; Syngnathiformes; Syngnathidae.
CUGGUUAGAGCGUCAGCCUCACAGUUCUGAGGACCCGGGUUCAAUCCCCGGCCCCGCCUGUGUGGAGUUUGCAUGUUCUCCCCGUGCCUGCGUGGGUUUUCUCCGGGCACUCCGGUUUCCUCCCACAUCCCAAAAACAUGCAUGAAUUGGAGACUCUAAAUUGCCCGUAGGCAUGACUGUGAGUGUGGAUGGUUGUUUGUUCCUAUGUGCCCUGCAAUUGGCUGGCAACCAGUUCAGGGUGUACCCCGCCUCCUGCCCGAUGACAGCUGGGAUAGGCUCCAGCACGCCCGCGACCCUAGUGAGGAGAAGCGGCUCAGAAAAUGGAUGGAUGGAUGGACUUGCAUUAGUUUACGUGGUGAUGUAACACAUUAACAAUGGCGGAGGAGCGUACGUGUCCCAGCAAGGGGCCAAGCCACUCAAGGCGUAAUCUAUGUAUAUUUGAUGUCUAUGAAGACUACGUGUACAGUGGACACCUGUAGGCGUAAAACCACGUGCAGUACAUACUCUGCGUUUAUAUCAAAGCCUUAACAAAAUGAUGAAUAAUAUUAAAACAUACUUAAUGCUUUAGAUGCUUGAGCUAUAACGAUCUUAAUAUUAUAUUCGUUCUAACGGUUAAAACAGACAGUGUGCGUCGCCAUUUUUACGAGUUUAUGGCGAGUUCGCGGUACAAUUUUUAUACUAACUACGUGUCCCAGAAUGCACCACGUUUUCAACACAGCAGUCCCUACCCAAUGGUGCUCAAUAACACCCACGUAGUUGCUUUGGAACAGGGGUCGCCACACCGCGUCAUCCUAUCUCCUGCAUCCUCCUCUCCAAGACCAACUGCCCUCCUGUCUUCCCUCACGACAUCCAUCAACCUUCUCUGUGGUCUUCCUCUCGCUCUCUCGCCUGGCAGCUCCAUCCUCAUCAUCCUUCUACCAAUAUACUCACUAUUUCUCCACUGGACGUGUCCAGACCAUCCAAGUCUGCUCUCUCUAACUUUGUCUCCAAAACAUCGAACCUCGGCUCUCCCUCUGAUGAGCUCAUUUCUAAUUUUAUCCGACCUGGUCACUCCGAGAGCGAACCUCAACAUCUUCAUUUCCGCCACCUCCAGCUCGGCUUCCUGUUGUCUCUUCAGUGCCACUGUCUCUAAUCCGUCCAUCAUGGCUGGCCUCACCACUGUCUUCUAAACUUUGCCCUUCAUCCUAGCAGAGACUCUUCUGUCACAUAACACACCUGACACCUUCCUCCACCCGUUCCAACCUGCUUGGACCCGUUUCUUCACUUCCUGACCACACUCACCGUUGCUCUGGACGGUUGACCCCAAGUAUUUCAAGUCCUCCACCCUUUCUAUCUCUUCUCCCUGUACUCUUCCCCCACCACCCCUCUCAUUCGUGCACAUAUAUUUUGCCUUACUUCGGCUAAUCUUCAUUCCUCAGCUUUCCAGUGCAUGCCUCCACAUUCCUAACUGUUCCUCCACCUGCUCCCUGCUUUCACUGCAGAUCACAAUGUCCUCUGCAAACAUCACGGUCCACGGGGAUUCCUUUCUCACCUCAUCUGUCAGCCUAUCCAUCACCACUGCAAACAGGAAGGGGCUCAGGGCUGACCCCUGAUGCAGUCCCACCUCCACCUUAAAUUCGUCUGUCACACCUACAGCACACCUCACCGCUGUUCUGCUGCCCUCGUACAUGUCCUGGAUUAUUCGAACAUACUUCUCUGCCACUCCAGACUUCCGCAUGCAGUACCACAGUUCCUCUCUGGGUACUCUGUCAUAGGCUUUCUCUAGAUCUACAAAGACACAAUGUAGCUCCUUCUGACCUUCUCUGUACUUUUCCAUCAACAUCCUCAAGGCAAAUAAUGCAUCUGUGGUACUCUUUGUAGGCAUGAAACCAUACUGUUGCUCGCAAAUACUCACUUCUGUCCUGAGUCUAGCCUCCACUACUCUUUCCCAUAACUUCAUUGUGUGGCUCAUCCACUUGAUUCCUCUGUAGUUCCCACAGCUCUGCACAUGACCCUCGUUCUUACAAAUGGGCACCAGCAAACUUUUCCUCCAUUCCUCAGGCAUCUUCUCACGUGCUAGAAUUCUAUUGAACAAGCUAACCAUUCCUCAACUUUCUCACUCUUUUUGUGUCCCAGCUUUUUUGGAACGUGUUGCAGCCAUAAAAUUCCAAGUUAAUGAUUAUUUGCUAAAAACAAUCAAGUUUGUCAGUUUGAACAUGAAAUAUCUUGUCUUUGUAGUGUAUUCAAUUAAAUAUAAGCUGAUCAUGAUUUGCAAAUCAUUGUAUUCUGUUUUUAUUUAUUUUUUUAACGUCCCAACUUCAUUGGAAUUGGGGUUGUAAAAUGUUAAGCUUAUAACUGUAAAAUAUGAUUUCAAUGUUUUCCCCAAUGCCAGAUGUUGGUGUGAUGUAAAACAGAUUGUGUCAUAUCGUUAAAAAUUGGCUGUUUUUCUUCACUUUUUUUUUUUUUUUUAAUGAAACACUUGUUUUCAUAACAAACAGAUGUGUAUUUAAUAAGACCUUCCAAUUUCUCCAAUAUGAGAUUCUAGCAAUCAGCCGUUUACACCGAAUAAAGAUAUAAUUACAACACGUUUA